GACGAACGCUGGCGGCGUGCCUAACACAUGCAAGUCGAGCGAAUGAAGUUCCUUCGGGAAUGGAUUUAGCGGCGGACGGGUGAGUAACACGUGGGCAACCUGCCUCAUAGAGGGGAAUAGCCUUCCGAAAGGGAGAUUAAUACCGCAUAAGAUUGUAGUAUCGCAUGAUACAGCAAUUAAAGGAGCAAUCCGCUAUGAGAUGGGCCCGCGGCGCAUUAGCUAGUUGGUGAGGUAACGGCUCACCAAGGCGACGAUGCGUAGCCGACCUGAGAGGGUGAUCGGCCACAUUGGGACUGAGACACGGCCCAGACUCCUACGGGAGGCAGCAGUGGGGAAUAUUGCACAAUGGGGGAAACCCUGAUGCAGCAACGCCGCGUGAGUGAUGACGGCCUUCGGGUUGUAAAGCUCUGUCUUCAGGGACGAUAAUGACGGUACCUGAGGAGGAAGCCACGGCUAACCACGUG
RNAcentral lists this ribosomal RNA (464 nucleotides) under uncultured bacterium. Its description in RNAcentral is "partial 16S ribosomal RNA". It matches the Rfam family "Bacterial small subunit ribosomal RNA", at positions 28 to 507 of the family's 1533-position model. The record is from RNAcentral.